Molecule: ribosomal RNA, 2922 nt
Filed under: Bacillus thuringiensis
Lineage: Bacteria; Bacillati; Bacillota; Bacilli; Caryophanales; Bacillaceae
Description: 23S ribosomal RNA
Rfam family: Bacterial large subunit ribosomal RNA
Source: RNAcentral
GGUUAAGUUAGAAAGGGCGCACGGUGGAUGCCUUGACACUAGGAGUCGAUGAAGGACGGGACUAACGCCGAUAUGCUUCGGGGAGCUGUAAGUAAGCUUUGAUCCGAAGAUUUCCGAAUGGGGAAACCCACCAUACGUAAUGGUAUGGUAUCCUUAUCUGAAUACAUAGGGUAAGGAAGACAGACCCAGGGAACUGAAACAUCUAAGUACCUGGAGGAAGAGAAAGCAAAUGCGAUUUCCUGAGUAGCGGCGAGCGAAACGGAACAUAGCCCAAACCAAGAGGCUUGCCUCUUGGGGUUGUAGGACAUUCUAUACGGAGUUACAAAGGAACGAGGUAGACGAAGCGACCUGGAAAGGUCCGUCGUAGAGGGUAACAACCCCGUAGUCGAAACUUCGUUCUCUCUUGAAUGUAUCCUGAGUACGGCGGAACACGUGAAAUUCCGUCGGAAUCUGGGAGGACCAUCUCCCAAGGCUAAAUACUCCCUAGUGAUCGAUAGUGAACCAGUACCGUGAGGGAAAGGUGAAAAGCACCCCGGAAGGGGAGUGAAAGAGAUCCUGAAACCGUGUGCCUACAAAUAGUCAGAGCCCGUUAACGGGUGAUGGCGUGCCUUUUGUAGAAUGAACCGGCGAGUUACGAUCCCGUGCGAGGUUAAGCUGAAGAGGCGGAGCCACAGCGAAAGCGAGUCUGAAUAGGGCGUUUAGUACGUGGUCGUAGACCCGAAACCAGGUGAUCUACCCAUGUCCAGGGUGAAGUUCAGGUAACACUGAAUGGAGGCCCGAACCCACGCACGUUGAAAAGUGCGGGGAUGAGGUGUGGGUAGCGGAGAAAUUCCAAUCGAACCUGGAGAUAGCUGGUUCUCCCCGAAAUAGCUUUAGGGCUAGCCUUAAGUGUAAGAGUCUUGGAGGUAGAGCACUGAUUGGACUAGGGGUCCUCAUCGGAUUACCGAAUUCAGUCAAACUCCGAAUGCCAAUGACUUAUCCUUAGGAGUCAGACUGCGAGUGAUAAGAUCCGUAGUCAAAAGGGAAACAGCCCAGACCGCCAGCUAAGGUCCCAAAGUGUGUAUUAAGUGGAAAAGGAUGUGGAGUUGCUUAGACAACUAGGAUGUUGGCUUAGAAGCAGCCACCAUUUAAAGAGUGCGUAAUAGCUCACUAGCCGAGUGACUCUGCGCCGAAAAUGUACCGGGGCUAAAUACACCACCGAAGCUGCGGAUUGAUACCAAUGGUAUCAGUGGUAGGGGAGCGUUCUAAGGACAGUGAAGUCAGACCGGAAGGACUGGUGGAGUGCUUAGAAGUGAGAAUGCCGGUAUGAGUAGCGAAAGACGGGUGAGAAUCCCGUCCACCGAAUGCCUAAGGUUUCCUGAGGAAGGCUCGUCCGCUCAGGGUUAGUCAGGACCUAAGCCGAGGCCGACAGGCGUAGGCGAUGGACAACAGGUUGAUAUUCCUGUACCACCUCUUUAUCGUUUGAGCAAUGGAGGGACGCAGAAGGAUAGAAGAAGCGUGCGAUUGGUUGUGCACGUCCAAGCAGUUAGGCUGAUAAGUAGGCAAAUCCGCUUAUCGUAAAGGCUGAGCUGUGAUGGGGAAGCUCCUUAUGGAGCGAAGUCUUUGAUUCCCCGCUGCCAAGAAAAGCUUCUAGCGAGAUAAAAGGUGCCUGUACCGCAAACCGACACAGGUAGGCGAGGAGAGAAUCCUAAGGUGUGCGAGAGAACUCUGGUUAAGGAACUCGGCAAAAUGACCCCGUAACUUCGGGAGAAGGGGUGCUUUCUUAACGGAAAGCCGCAGUGAAUAGGCCCAAGCGACUGUUUAGCAAAAACACAGCUCUCUGCGAAGCCGUAAGGCGAAGUAUAGGGGGUGACACCUGCCCGGUGCUGGAAGGUUAAGGAGAGGGGUUAGCGUAAGCGAAGCUCUGAACUGAAGCCCCAGUAAACGGCGGCCGUAACUAUAACGGUCCUAAGGUAGCGAAAUUCCUUGUCGGGUAAGUUCCGACCCGCACGAAAGGUGUAACGAUUUGGGCACUGUCUCAACCAGAGACUCGGUGAAAUUAUAGUACCUGUGAAGAUGCAGGUUACCCGCGACAGGACGGAAAGACCCCGUGGAGCUUUACUGUAGCCUGAUAUUGAAUUUUGGUACAGUUUGUACAGGAUAGGCGGGAGCCAUUGAAACCGGAGCGCUAGCUUCGGUGGAGGCGCUGGUGGGAUACCGCCCUGACUGUAUUGAAAUUCUAACCUACGGGUCUUAUCGACCCGGGAGACAGUGUCAGGUGGGCAGUUUGACUGGGGCGGUCGCCUCCUAAAGUGUAACGGAGGCGCCCAAAGGUUCCCUCAGAAUGGUUGGAAAUCAUUCGUAGAGUGCAAAGGCAUAAGGGAGCUUGACUGCGAGACCUACAAGUCGAGCAGGGACGAAAGUCGGGCUUAGUGAUCCGGUGGUUCCGCAUGGAAGGGCCAUCGCUCAACGGAUAAAAGCUACCCCGGGGAUAACAGGCUUAUCUCCCCCAAGAGUCCACAUCGACGGGGAGGUUUGGCACCUCGAUGUCGGCUCAUCGCAUCCUGGGGCUGUAGUCGGUCCCAAGGGUUGGGCUGUUCGCCCAUUAAAGUGGUACGCGAGCUGGGUUCAGAACGUCGUGAGACAGUUCGGUCCCUAUCCGUCGUGGGCGUAGGAAAUUUGAGAGGAGCUGUCCUUAGUACGAGAGGACCGGGAUGGACGCACCGCUGGUGUACCAGUUGUUCUGCCAAGGGCAUAGCUGGGUAGCUAUGUGCGGAAGGGAUAAGUGCUGAAAGCAUCUAAGCAUGAAGCCCCCCUCAAGAUGAGAUUUCCCAUAGCGUAAGCUAGUAAGAUCCCUGAAAGAUGAUCAGGUUGAUAGGUUCGAGGUGGAAGCAUGGUGACAUGUGGAGCUGACGAAUACUAAUAGAUCGAGGACUUAACCAU